RNAcentral lists this non-coding RNA (197 nucleotides) under human gut metagenome. RNAcentral's name for it is "raiA RNA". It matches the Rfam family "raiA RNA". The record is from RNAcentral. RNAcentral also lists the same sequence under 2 other names.
GGGGUCUGUGGUUGAAAGUCGAUGCCAGUCGCAGGCGAAACGACCCACGUAAGCGAGAGAAACUCUCGUGAGCAUGGUGCGGUUUAGGUGUAAGUCCGUCCGUCGUUAUCGGCGAGAGGGGUAGUAGUGGGGGAGCAAGGGCUUUAUGAGCGAACCCUCCGGACGGCGAGUGUGGGGUCAAAGACCAGGUCAGCCCG